Ribosomal RNA from Ochotona princeps (American pika), 115 nucleotides. The record is from Ensembl. NCBI's taxonomy places the organism in Eukaryota, Metazoa, Chordata, Mammalia, Lagomorpha, Ochotonidae.
GUCUAUGGCCAUACCACCCUGAACGCGCUCGAUCUCGUCUGAUCUCGGAAGCUAAGCAGGGUCGAGCCUGGUUAGUACUUGGAUGGGAGAAUAGGGUCACCAGGAGGCACGGUUG